This 119-nucleotide ribosomal RNA is filed under the name Lepisosteus oculatus (spotted gar). Lineage: Eukaryota; Metazoa; Chordata; Actinopteri; Semionotiformes; Lepisosteidae. The record is from RNAcentral.
UUCAGCAGCCAUAUCACCCUGUAACUCACAACUGGCAACCCACUGAAGAUCAGCAGGUGUGAGCCUGAUCAGUACCUGGAUGGAAGACCUCCAGGGAAAAACUAGUUUUACUGCUGGAA